This 468-nucleotide ribosomal RNA is filed under the name uncultured bacterium. RNAcentral describes it as "partial 16S ribosomal RNA". It matches the Rfam family "Bacterial small subunit ribosomal RNA", at positions 28 to 507 of the family's 1533-position model. The record is from RNAcentral.
GACGAACGCUGGCGGCGGGCUUAACACAUGCAAGUCGAACGGAAAGGCCCUUCUUUUGUGCGGUGCUCUAGUUGCCACCGGGUGAGUAACCCGUUAGUAACCUGCCCUUGUCUUUGGGAUAACUUCAUACAACUGGGGCUCAUACCGGAUAGGAGCUCCUGCUGCAUGGUGGGGGUUGGAAAGUUUCGGCGGUUGGGGAUGGACUCGCGUCUCAUCAGCUUGUUGGUGGGGUAGUGUCUUACCAAGGCUUUGCCGGGUAGCAGGCCUGCGAGGGUGACCGGCCACAUUGGGACGGAGAUACGGCCCAGACUACUACGGGAGGCAGCAGUGGAGAAUAUUGCACAAUGGGAGGAAGCCUGAUGCAGCAAAGCCGCGUGCGGGAUGAGGGGAAUCGGGUUGUAAACCGCUUUCGCCUGUGACGAAGAGUGAGUGACGGUAAUGGGUAAAGAAGCACCGGCUAACUACGUG